Molecule: ribosomal RNA, 497 nt
Filed under: uncultured bacterium
Lineage: Bacteria
Description: partial 16S ribosomal RNA
Rfam family: Bacterial small subunit ribosomal RNA
Source: RNAcentral
GACGAACGCUGGCGGCGUGCCUAAUACAUGCAAGUUGAGCGCUGAAGGUUGGUACUUGUACCAACUGGAUGAGCAGCGAACGGGUGAGUAACGCGUGGGGAAUCUGCCUUUGAGCGGGGGACAACAUUUGGAAACGAAUGCUAAUACCGCAUAAAAACUUUAAACACAAGUCUUAAGUUUGAAAGAUGCAAUUGCAUCACUCAAAGAUGAUCCCGCGUUGUAUUAGCUAGUUGGUGAGGUAAAGGCUCACCAAGGCGAUGAUACAUAGCCGACCUGAGAGGGUGAUCGGCCACAUUGGGACUGAGACACGGCCCAAACUCCUACGGGAGGCAGCAGUAGGGAAUCUUCGGCAAUGGACGAAAGUCUGACCGAGCAACGCCGCGUGAGUGAAGAAGGUUUUCGGAUCGUAAAACUCUGUUGGUAGAGAAGAACGUUGGUGAGAGUGGAAAGCUCAUCAAGUGACGGUAACUACACAGAAAGGGACGGCUAACUACGUG